Non-coding RNA from Camelina sativa (false flax), 1963 nucleotides. The record is from RefSeq and is a predicted model, not a curated record. NCBI's taxonomy places the organism in Eukaryota, Viridiplantae, Streptophyta, Magnoliopsida, Brassicales, Brassicaceae.
CCUGUUUAAUUAAAAUCUCAGGGCCCCUAAUCUAAUGAUCCGUUUAUCUACAAAUCUAACCCUUUCUGCACGAUUGUCUUCUCCACCGGCCGCCGCUGUUGGACCUCAAGCGCCACGCCUUUUCAUAUUUCCUCCGUUCUAAAGCUAUUGUUUCGUUUACGUUUGAAACCCCCUAAUCAGUCCUUCAAUGUUUUCUCUUUCAAUAGUAGUCCCACUACUUACCAUUCAAUUUGGGUUACUUCAAAUCCUAUAUAAUGCCCUCUUCUCCAAUUUCAUUCAUCUUACAAUUUCUUCACUAUCUGAAAAUUCUAUUAUCUAUUAUGGAUUCCAGUGUUGGGUCAUUCGCAACUCUCAAGGCCGGUAGCCUACACCAACAGAUUGUAGGGAGGAUGCUUCGUCACUGGCCGGCCCGAAACGUCAAAAAAGGAGGGCAACUAAUGGGAAUUGACUUCCUUCUCAUUGACGAAAAGAGUUGUGUCAUUCAAGGGUCGAUCAAUGUUAGCCUCCUUUCCAAAUUUGAGAACUCGCUGUGUGAUGGGCAUGUAUAUAUCAUGUCAGACUUUGAAGUCACCAGAAGCAACUCACGUUUCAAGCUCACUGAUUCUCCUUUCUCAAUCCGUCUCAUAUCCACUACUGUUUUCGAAAAGCUUGACGAGUCUUUUGGUAUUUUCCCAAAAGAGUUUUUCAGGUUCCGUACUCAUGAGGAGUUGGUUUCUCUAGCCAAUACCAAUUCUGAUCUUCCAGGUCCGUUUAGUUUAAACCCUUUCAAUGUUAACUGUUUCCAAUAUUAAGUCGAAUUGUUGAACGGUUUUGUUCAAACCGUCUCAAUGUUUACUGUUUCUAAGCUUAAUUCGAUUUGUUGAAGCUAAGUUCCAUAAUCGAUAUGCCUUCAUUACCCUCCUUUUAGAGGCUUCGUGAGCGUGAGAGGCUUCGUGGUCCUCCUUGGUUAAAAACAGUGCAAGGGGCACUUCUUAGCUGCUCAUAUGCAGUGCUUGACUACGCCCAAACCGGUCUGAUUGCAGCAGUUUUUAUCUUUAAAAUGAUGGAAUGGUGGUAUCAAUCAGCUGAAGAGAGAUUAUCAGCUCCAACAGUGUACCCUCCACCUCCUCCAGCCCCAACGAUGGCCAAGAAGGAAUCCCUCUACCUCCCAACAGAUCCCUCUGCGCGUUGUGCUUGCAAAAACGUGCAAAUCCAUCAGUUGUCACGGUCUCUGGAUUUGUUUUCUGCUACUCAUGUGUAUUUAAGUAUGUUACAAAGUACAAGCGAUGUCCGGUGACAUUGAUACCGGCCAGCGUGGAUCAGAUUAGGAGGCUGUUUCAUGACACUUAGGACCCAUCUAUUUAAUGGUUUUAAGCCAAAUUGUGAGAGUCUGAGCCGAAAGAGUUAUAAAUUGCCAAAUAUAUAUAUGGAUAAGCUUUCAUGUAGAGCUCAUCAAGUUUGGGAUCAAGUGCUUGAUAGAAGCUCUUCUCGACACAUUGAGUUUUGUCAUGUCUGCUUAGUCUUAACAUUUGCUGUUUGUUUUGUCUAAACCUAGGAAGAUAGAAGUUCUUUCGAACAUUGAGUUCUUUUUUGAGUUCUUAUUCUAUAUAUAGAAGCAUUUUGAUACACAAUGAGUUUCAUUUAUGUUUAUAGAGUUUCAUUUAUUCAUGUCUGUCUUCCAGUCGGUUCUCAUAUGAUCCAUAUAAUUGUUUCAUCUGGUUAUUGAGAUGAAGUAGAACUAACGUUUCUACAGCGGCCGGUGUUUACAAGAAGCAAAUCGGAGCCGGCGAGUAUCGGGCGAGAAGAAUGUGGUGUUGCUUCCAAAUAAAGAAGAGGGUAAAGUUUAGUUCUCUCUCUCACGUGAUUGACUUUUUAGUCAAUUUCACAAAUUAAAAAUAAUGGUCUUUAACCGUCAUUGUUAGUUUGUUACUUAAAUUGACUGUGUUUAGAAGAUAUAAAGGCAAAAAAAAAUUGUAAUUGUAUA